CAGUCGCCGCGGUAAUACGUAGGUGGCGAGCGUUGUCCGGAAUUAUUGGGCGUAAAGGGAGCGCAGGCGGGCGAGUAAGUCUUUCUUAAAAGUGCGGGGCUCAACCCCGUGAGGGGAGAGAAACUACUCAUCUUGAGUGCAGGAGAGGAAAGCGGAAUUCCUAGUGUAGCGGUGAAAUGCGUAGAUAUUAGGAAGAACACCAGUGGCGAAGGCGGCUUUCUGGACUGUAACUGACGCUGAGGCUCGAAAGCCAGGGGAGCGAGCGGGAUUAGAUACCCCCGUAGUCCCUGUCUCUUAUACA
This 301-nucleotide ribosomal RNA is filed under the name uncultured bacterium. Its description in RNAcentral is "partial 16S ribosomal RNA". It matches the Rfam family "Bacterial small subunit ribosomal RNA", at positions 509 to 809 of the family's 1533-position model. The record is from RNAcentral.